This 3339-nucleotide long non-coding RNA is filed under the name Homo sapiens (human). RNAcentral describes it as "HSALNT0248578". The record is from RNAcentral. Lineage: Eukaryota; Metazoa; Chordata; Mammalia; Primates; Hominidae.
GAGCAUGCUCUCUGCCAGAGCUCGGGACUGGUGCUGACCUGCAGGAUGGAGGAGAGAAGAGAAGACUCAUCAACAGAACAAAUGUUGCUGGAACAUUACUUAUAAUGGCAACAAUUGGAAACAAUCAAAGGAUGUCACUAUAGGGACUUGGGUUAAGAAAAUUAUGACACAUCAAAAGCACAGUGAAGAGAACUUCUGUCAAUCCUGUCAAGCACAUGAAGAUGUGAAGUUUCAACUGGAUUCAUUUCUAUAAAUAACCGAUACAAUUUCCAGAAAACCCUGAAGUCAGGAAAACCAAUGUUACUAAUGGCCUUAGGCUACGAGAAGAUCUGGUUAAGAGUAUCCUAAGGGAGGAUCUAAGCCUGUUCAUACUCUACAAGCAAAGAAACACCCUGAAACCCCUUGAUUUUCUUAUUUUCACCAUUUGCUUCAACCAGCAGUUCACUGGAGACCCAUCCAUCUUGUAAUGCCUAAAGUGACAGAUGCUCUCAGAAACGACCACACUGCUGAGUGAACAAAAGAUAACAUCACCUCCAGGAACUCCAGAGAGAAAUACAACUGCAAGCUUAAGACAGGGGCUGACUUGACAGACAUUGGACCAUAAACCUCUUCUAAGCAAAAAAGAAAACAAUUGCCACACACACAAAAAAAAUCUGACACAAUCAAAGGCAGAAAAGAGUGAUUAUUUGUGGAUUGCCUUUUCACUCUGUAACUCACUUUUCCCCACCCAAUGCUUUUAUAUCGGGGCAAUUCACUCACCAAUAGGCAGGAGGAGUUCUUGUGUGUGUGGGGGGGGGGGGGCGGGGGGGAGGCGGAGUGGGGGCAGGGGGAGCCUUUCUCAAGUAUCUUCUUUUAUUCAUCAAUAUUCAAAGUGAAAUUCAUUCACAAGUGUUUCAGGAAAUCUAAGUCUACCAUACAGCAUUCUUAAGCCUGACUCUUAAUAUCUGGACUCAGAAAUGCUGACUCAAUUCUACUGCGGUGAAAGGCACAUGCAUGCUUUGCAAAUUAAAAACACAUUAGAAAUUAAAAAGCAACCUGUGACAAUGUCAACAAUAUGUGCAGCACAUUUGAAAAAGCCAACCAUUCAUCAGACAACCUCCAACUUGGGUUAAAAAGACAUUUUACAAGAGGAUUCUGGGAAGGGCUGCACAGCUCUUUUCUAACAAAGGAAAGGUCAUAUUAACAUCUCCCAGCAACAAACUAAUGACAGGGAAGCUGUAGAUGCAGGAGACUCUGCUUGAUGCCAUCUAGGUUCUAGGACUUUCGUUGUGACUGUUGUUUAAAACAUCUUAUUUAAAACUAUCAGACAGAAUAGGAAGUAAAUAUAACUCUAACAUUCAGACAAAUACAGUGAAGGGGAAAUUUCGAAGAACAUAAAAACAAAAACUAACCUGGAGGUCAAUUAAGAACAUCAUGUGGUCAAUGCCAAUUAUGGAGAUUAACAACCCGUUUUUAGAAUAGAUAUCGAGCAACACAGGAAAACCUCUGUUGGAGCUAAAUACAUUAUUCUUCUCAAAAAGGGCAAAUGAUACAAAUAUUUAUGUUACAUCUAAAGAAAAGAGCCAAAAUGCUUAAGAAAAUUUCCAUUGACAAUAUUUCUAAGAAGAAAUCUAAAUACUUAUAAUGGCAUUUCUUUAAUAAAAAUAUUUUUUUCUCUAAAAUGUUUGCACACAAAGUCUUUAAGUUAUGCUACAAUCAUUUUUCUUUGGGGUUACUAAUGACUCCUCUCCUCCCCACUUUCCAAAAAAAACACAAAUUUUAAAAUAUAUUUUGUCUCCUGUGAUUGAAUUACUUGUGGGGAGGAGGUUAAAAAAAUUUCAACUUAUAUAAAUCAACAUAUCAGUUACUUAAACAUUUUUAUGUCUCUCUUAUUUCCUCAAACACUUCAAUGUAUCUUUCAUAAAUAACAGUAUAAUAUUUCAUAAUCUCAGAAUUUUCUGGGUUUUUUUUAAGGCUGGCAAAGUAGAAUACAUACAAAAUAAUAAAAUGAGUAUGUAAAAUCAUAUCACAAUAGAAAAAAGAUUAAAUAAUUAUAGAACACUUAUAUAAAAUACUUGUUCUAAUAUGGACUGGAUCUUUAACUAGGAGACUUUAUAAACAAAGCCUUAUACACACUGGCCCUAAGUAAUCUCCCACAAUCUAUUAAUCCAAAACUACCACAUCAUUCAACACUUUCAAACUCUGGCAUUAAUAACAAGAAAGAGAAGUGACCUUGAAAUGACAGCUCCACUGCAGAAGGCUCAAAAAAAGAUCCAAUUAAAUGAUCUACUUUAAAACACAAUAGAAUCAAUAUGCAUGCUAGAAAAGUACAUCCCUGUGGAAAGUUCUUAUUGUCUGACUGAUCAAAAACAAAACUUUUUUUUUUUUAAGGGCCCCUUCCAGAUCACAGUCUGUACCAGAAAUCCACACAGGAAAAAAAAAUCCAUCAAAAUGAAACCCUAAAAGGGUUUACUCUUCACCAUUCUAUUUGCACUUCAAAACCCUGUCAGUCCUUCAGUUAAACCCCAGGGCUGUACCAUUUCAAUAAUAAGAGAGGUGGCCAGUGGUGAUUUAUCUCCCAUUUGGCCUCUGGACAGAGCUGUAAUGUCUAGGAAGCUUCCCUUCCCUGACUGGAUCCCUCCCCCAAGUCUCCACCUUAAUUUGUGCAGCCUUGGGUCUGCAAUACCUUAGAAACAAUUCAUGUGCCCCUUCCAAUCAGAUGCAGGAACACUCUGUACUCAAGAUUUGGGUACAUUUUCUCAGCAAUAAUUUCACAAAAUGGCAUGCUGCUGAGUACUCAGAGCAUGGCAAAUACCAGCUUAAAUUUCAGAUUCUCUUUGUUAUAAGUUAGAGCAGAAAAGAAACUUCCUUAACUGUAGCCUCUCUCUUCUCACAUACGUUAUCGGAACUUCACAAGCUUUUCCCAGUGUAUACUUUGAUAUCCUUUAUGUUUUGGACCACAUUAGCCAGUAUCCUUCAGUGUGGUACUCAUCUAAAUUUAAAUCUUUGCAUUGUAAAAUACCUUAACAAAUCCAAAAAAGUGGAGAUUUCAUAGGUCACAGACUCCUGGGUCAAAAAGACCUAAAAAUAGAUAACAGACCACCACGACUUAACUGAUUUAUUCUACCCUUGUUAUCCAAUAUGUACUGUAACUGUCAUCACAUACACUCACCAAUUUUCCAACAAUGUCAACAGUUAUUUAAAUGGAAAUAUAGAUCCCAGAAGUCACCAAAUGUGAAACACAGUGAAAUUAUUCCUUAAAAAUGGAGGAUAUUUUAUCAUUAGGCAUGACUUACCUAUUUCAUAAUUAUGUUCAUUUGCUUUCUAAAAUGGAAAGAGAAUAAAAAGCAUGUAUAACCU